AUCACUUUUCAGCCUUUUGGCUAAGAUCAAGUGUAGUAUCUUUUCUUAUCAGUUUAGUAUCUGAUGCAUUCUUUAUCUGAGGAUAAUAUAUUAAAUAGAUUUUUGGAACAGGGAGAUGGAAUGGGAGCUUGCUCCAUCCACUCCUCAAAUUGACCUGGUAUUGUAGUACCUCCGAGAACAGCGUACCCCCU
This 191-nucleotide small nuclear RNA is filed under the name Propithecus coquereli (Coquerel's sifaka). RNAcentral describes it as "U2 spliceosomal RNA (ENSPCOG00000002258.1)". It matches the Rfam family "U2 spliceosomal RNA". Rfam says of the family: U2 is a small nuclear RNA (snRNA) component of the spliceosome (involved in pre-mRNA splicing). Complementary binding between U2 snRNA (in an area lying towards the 5' end but 3' to hairpin I) and the branchpoint sequence (BPS) of the intron results the bulging out of an unpaired adenosine, on the BPS, which initiates a nucleophilic attack at the intronic 5' splice site, thus starting the first of two transesterification reactions that mediate splicing. The record is from Rfam by way of RNAcentral. Lineage: Eukaryota; Metazoa; Chordata; Mammalia; Primates; Indriidae.